UUUUUUUUUUUUUUUUCCCUGCAGCAAAAUCAAAGCCAGACUCAGCCUCAAAUGAUUAAAGGUUAACUAAGACUUCAAACAAGCUCACGCGAUGGGUCGUUCUCCCAAGAAUGACGGGACAUAAACUGGGCUUGGCUUUAGUAUCUGCCUUUGAUUAGGGCCCUGUCAGAGGGCGAUGAGCAGGAAAAGAGCCUCUGGCACAGAUGGGAGAUGUGCUCUGGAAAUUCUUCCAAAAGAAAAAUAUUGCUGCACCUGUUCGGGGCGAAAUCCUGCCCCGGGGAAAGCAUCCCGAGUUCGGGGUGCAGUGGGGUUUAGAACAAGACUCCGCUGAAAUGCGGUUCUGUUCAGCAAGCUGAGCUGGCUCGGGAUGUGAGGAGGCAAACGCAGCCCAGGCUGGAGCAGCUCCAGAGCGCUUGGACAGCACCCCGAGGCACCACGUGGGAUUUUGGGGUGUCUGGAUCAACCACCCCUUCCAGCUCAGGGCUCCACGAGUCUCUGAGGCUGAUUCUCCUCGAGGAAUUGGCCUCUGGACACCAGGAGCAGCCAAGGGAGCAGCACCAGCCUGCACUGGGAAGCAGCGGCUGCUCCAGGCACCACCGCCUCUCACUGCUCCCCUCCCUCCUGCAGCCCAGUCCCAGCAGCAUUUUAAUUAAAAGAGGUGGCUCCGUGCACCUUUUUCCUAUUGAUCUGCAGUCAACAAGAGCCCAUAAACCAAGAAAUUAAAGCCAUAAUUUACAGCCCUUGGCCGGGCCGCCUGCGAGCUCUGGUUGCCACAUUGCACACGAUGGUUUCCUGCCUCUGCCAGGACAUAAACUCGAUACAACAGCUCCAAAAAGGAGAAAAAACCCCACCACUAACCCCCCCAGCCUGAGAAGGCUUCCUGCAGCAGCCAGCUCCGAGGAUGGCUUUCAGCUCGCUGCGUCUGAUCUGCGGCCAAGCCGUGGUUCCAAUCAGCGAGCUGGAGAUGAAAGCGCAGCCCUGGUCCUGCCCAGGUGUGCCGCUGGCACCCCCCGCUCCCGGGGCACGGCUCCAGCAUGUUCAAGCAAUAAAAGCCAAAUGAGGAACAUGUGCCUAAAACCAGCGGCUGGUUUCACCGCUCUCUAUAAAUGAGUUUUCCCAGGGCAGGGUUUGGGGUUUCUUUAACACGAGCGUGACAGGGAUUCCAGCACUUCCAUCCCUGCGAGAGGCUGGGAAAAAAAGUGGAGCAGCUCUCCUGCAAAGAGCCUCUUACUUACAGUUGUGAGGGCUCAAAGAGCUGACUGAAACCUCCAAAUGACAACAAUUCCUCCCAGGCGAGGUGCCAGCGUUGAGCAAACAAUUUGUCGGGAAUGUUAAGUGCAGGGAAGCCGCGGACUUGUCGUGGAGCCCGGUGGUGUUUCCAAGCGGGGCGCGGCAGAGGGAUCCCACAAACCACGCCGGGGAGGCAGGGCUGGGGUAAAAGAUCCUUUUCUGUGGCUUCUCGAGCAGCCUGACGUGGUUGCUGCCUGGCAGAGAGCGCAGAACCAGCUGCUGCUCCUGCAUUCCAGGGCAGAUUCCAGAGCCCAGGUGCUCCGAGGGCUAUUUUUCAAACACAUAUAAAUAAAUAAUAUAUGUUCCUUUUCUGGGUUAAGUAAAGGUGGCCCAUCCACCUGGGACAAGUCCAGUAAUUUGGUCCAAUUCGGUUUUAAAUUGACGUGUUAUGAAAUAAUAGGAAUCUGUCCCUACUCACUAUCAGCUACCUAACUGGCUUGUGGCUGCCCUACGUCCCUAGCUAUCAUCUACUUUAUUUAUUAAAAAAUACAAGAUAGUAAAAAAGAACAUUAUAUAACAAUACAAAAAUAACAUAGCAAAAAAACAAAAAAAAACCCCAAAUAAAACACCAAAACAAAACCACAAACGCAAUACAAAAAGAAAGAAUCCAGGGGCAGCCACAGCUGGGCUGGGAAUUCCAUCCCAGCCCCUGCCCACCCUCCCAGGGAGCAAUUCCCAGUUCCCAGUAUCCCAGCCCUGCCCUCUGGCACUGGGAGCCAUCCCCGUGUCCUGGCACUCAGAGCUCCAGGCUUUGCCCUCGGAGGCAUCCAGCUGGCACAGGCAAGGUGCCACCUUCGUGCAGCCUAAGGACAAUCCCAGAGCAGCUUUGUAACCUGCCCCGGGUGUCAUCAGGAACACGAGGCUCCUGCCCGAGCUGGGAACAGGGCAGAUAAGCACAUUCCUGGGGAGUGUUUUGGGGCAGAGCUGAGCCCUGCCCUGCCCUGCUGCGGUUCCUGACUCGCUGCAGGGCAGCCCUGGCACUCAGAGCCAGCCCUGGCACUCAGGGAGGGCAGCUGGAGAGCCCCAGGGCACAGAGCAGCUCUGGCAGAGCCUGCAGGCAGCAGUGGGGCAGUUCCUGGCAGUGCAAUGCCCCUGGAAGCGCCACUCUGGGAACGUGCAGCUUCCAGAGAUCCUCCUCCCCAGAGCCCAGCAGGCACUGCUGGAACAGCAGCUGUGCCAGGCCAGGUCUGCCCCCUCUAGUUUGGAUCUUUCCUAGGGUACCACAGAGCCCUCCUGCCCCCUGGGCCUUUCCUAGCCCCAAAAAUGUUCUGGAGAAAUGAACACCUGAAUACCCCAAACCCACAGAGAAACGUCAAAGGCGACUGGGGAAGGUUUUGUUCCCUCCCAGGAUCCCAUCCAACCCUGUCCUCCAGCAGUGGGACCCCAUGCUGUGUCCUUGCCCCACGCUGGUUGUGGAUUCCCAGUGGGUGUGGAUUUAUUUCCCUGUGGAUGCACUCCCAGGGCAGCUCCAGAGCCCUGUCCCUGCAUCCUCU
Molecule: long non-coding RNA, 2783 nt
Organism: Taeniopygia guttata (zebra finch)
Lineage: Eukaryota; Metazoa; Chordata; Aves; Passeriformes; Estrildidae
Source: Ensembl